Molecule: long non-coding RNA, 1871 nt
Organism: Manihot esculenta (cassava)
Lineage: Eukaryota; Viridiplantae; Streptophyta; Magnoliopsida; Malpighiales; Euphorbiaceae
Exons: 2
Source: RefSeq, a predicted model, not a curated record
UUCAUUUUUUUUUAUAUCGUUUAUUACAUUGCUUUUGAACGAUACUACAUUGGGAAAAUGAAGAGUCAUUCCCUUAUUCCCUUUGUUCAUUUUCUAUAUAAAGGGAUGUGUAGGGCUCAUUUGCCCCACACCAACCCUCCUCCCUCCUCCUUCCCUCUAGUUUUUGUGUUCUCUCUCUAAAGAGUAUAUUUCUCUAGUUGCCAGAUUUUGGAGUUUGUUCUCCGUGCUCUUUUGCUUAAGAUACUUUUCUUAAAUUUAUUUCUAAGUUUUACUUGUGACUUUUUUUUUAGGUAUUUCGAUCUUUGGAGUUUUGUAGUACUUGAACGUUUCUGGUUUUUGGCCUCUGGCUAUAGUUUUCGACCUCUGACUAUGGUUUUCAGCCUCUAGCUAUAACUUUCAGUCUCCGAUAAUGGUUUUUGGCCUACAAUGAUGGUUUUUGGCAUUCGACUCUGAUUUUCGGCCUAUGAUUUUCGACAUUCGAUUUUUGGUUUUCGAAUUCCAAUUUUCGGCUUUUGAUUUUCGGCUAGUUCGGUUUUUGGACAAUUGGUCAAUUAGGUUUUCAACCUUUUAGGUUUUCGGCCCGAGGUAUUCUGCUUAGGAGGUUUUUUACCCAUUUGGGUUUUCGGCCAGUACAAUAGAUUUCUCUUUGUCGAAUUUGGUGGAAGAUGAAGAGUUUACUGGAGCCCAUCAGUAAAAAAACAGUAGUGGCAAAGGUUUCUCCUACUACAACCUCAUCUUACUUGCCUUAUACUCCUCACCUCUCAACUAUCGGGUUGGUCUCUACGGUCAGCCAAAAAAAGAUUAUAGAUAUAGUACUAAUGUUCCAUAUUCCAAAGGUUUUUAAGGGGUACCCUUAUGGCGUAGGACAGAUGGUCAAUGGUAUGGUGACUAAAGGUAGAUGUAUUAUAGUUUUCAUGGAGCAACUGAAAGCUAAGCUACGCUUUCCCUUAGAUCCUUUAAUCGUAGAGAGAUAGUUGGGGAUAAUGCUUCGUUGAUGAGGAAGCUUGCGGAGAAAGAGAGAAAAGAGGGGAGUCAGUUGGUCCCUUCUAAGAGAUCCAAGACCACCGGAGAGUCUUCCACUCCAGACCCCAAUUUUUAGGUUCAAGCCAUUGUUGACGCACCUUCUCACUUGGCUAGCACUGGGGUUCCUCCCAUGCCUUCUUCUCCUUCUUUUGACGGAUUACUAAGGGGUCACUCUAUGGUUGCCGACAAUUACCUUCUGGUUGGACAUAUAGGAAGGAAGAUCUUGCUUCUUGAGGAUCGAGAAAGACUUGACACAGAGGACGAUGAUGAUAUUUAUCAUCAUGCUCUAGCUAUAAGCUUGGAGGCUAUAACUGUUGUUCAAACUGAAAAAGAGAGAUUUCAUAGGUUGCAAGGAGCCUAUGGGGAGCUUUAAGCAUAGAACAUCCUCCUCAGCACCAAAAUGGGUAACCUGCAAACCUUUCAUAGGAACAUUUAGGUGGAGCUAGCGAAGGUUCAAUCCCAGCUUGGGGAGAUAGAUGAUGAGAGAGCACGCUAUAAGGAGGCUGAGAAGAAAGUGAAUUUUAUUGAUGAUACAAUUGCGGAUAUGUAUAUAGAUUUGCAAGGUUCAAUCAUGUCUGAGUUACAUCAUCGGAAUCCUGCUGGGGAUUAUGGUUGAGUUCAAGACAUGACUCCUGAGGCGACUAUGCCUAUGAACGAAGAGUCUCAUCAUGAAGGGAGCGGGAAUGAAGAAUAGAACACUAGGUUUCAAAAUUUUGUAUUUUGGCUCUUCAGGUCCUGUCUAGAUGUUCUUCUAUGUUUUCAUUAUUCGUUUUUCUAGUCUAGUAUCCACUUUAUAUUUACAUUGUAUUGAACUUUGUGUAUAAUGAUAAAAGAAUGCCAAUUUCCUA